CCUACGGGAGACAGCAGUGAGGAAUAUUGGUCAAUGGGCGGGAGCCUGAACCAGCCAAGUAGCGUGAGGGAUGACGGCCCUACGGGUCGUAAACCGCUUUUGCAGGGGGAUAACGCGCUGCACGUGUGGCGGUCUGCAUGUUCCCUGCGAAUAAGGGCUGGCUAAUUACGUGCCAGCAGCCGCGGUAAUACGGAGGGCCCGAGCGUUAUCCGGAUUUAUGGGGGUUAAAGGGAGCGUAGGCGGGCCUGCAAGUCAGGGGGAAAAUCCCGGGGCUCAACCCCGGACCGCAGUUGAAACUGGAGGCCUGGAGUGCACAAGAGGCAGGCGGAAUUCGUGGUGUAGCGGUGAAAUGCAUAGAUAUCACGAGGAACCCCGAUGGCGAAGGCAGCCUGCCGGGGUGCGACUGACGCUGAGGCUCGAAGGCGUGGGGAUCAAACAGGAUUAGAUACCCCUGUAGUC
RNAcentral lists this ribosomal RNA (459 nucleotides) under uncultured bacterium. RNAcentral describes it as "partial 16S ribosomal RNA". It matches the Rfam family "Bacterial small subunit ribosomal RNA", at positions 338 to 795 of the family's 1533-position model. The record is from RNAcentral.